Molecule: long non-coding RNA, 2165 nt
Organism: Asparagus officinalis (garden asparagus)
Lineage: Eukaryota; Viridiplantae; Streptophyta; Magnoliopsida; Asparagales; Asparagaceae
Exons: 4
Source: RefSeq, a predicted model, not a curated record
GGAAAUUGGCGAAGGAUCUGAAGGUGGAUAUUGGGUCGGUGGCGGGAACUGGCCCGAUGUGCCGAAUUGUGGCUAAGGAUGUGGAGGAGGCGGCGGCAACAGUAAGCUAUUCCUGCUACUGUAGGGGAGCUUGGGAGUGGAGGGGAGGAAGGAGGUUGUAAGUUUAAGUUCAAAUUUGCAACCUGAAGAAUCUGAAUGGGAUGUAUUUGGCAAUGAUUUGUAUGCUCCUGAAGUGGUCCUUACUCAGUCGGGUAAUCCAGGUGUAGAUGUCUCUUCUGCUAGUGGGAUUGAUGAAGACGACAAGCUUAAGGCAUUAAUUGAAACGCCUGCACUUGAUUGGAGCUGUCAAGGACAAGAUGGCUUUGGCGGUAGAGGCUUUGGAAGAGGCUUUGGGAGAGGGAUGAUGGCUGGUCGUGGCUUCGGUAUACGUUUAUGCUCUUCAUAUGUUCUCUAUUAUUUUUGGUUUCCUUAUCUUGUUGUCAUCGUCAUAUUAAUUUCUUUUUUUAUUAUUUUUUUUCAUUUUGGUGUGAUUAUUUCCAGUAUAAGAUUCUUGUAAAUUGGUCAUGCAAGACAAAGCUAUGACUAUCUUAAUCGCUAGGUAAAGACUUAGGUCCAUUACUUUGCUUUCAAGUAAUAUAUAAUAAAAUAAUAAAUUGAGAACUAUUAGAUAAAUAUGAAGUAAUGAGUGAUACAAUUAUUAUAUUCUUGAUGUUUAUGCUUGUGUUGUGCAUCCAACUCAUCAUACUUUGAUAAACUGCUGUGGAUAAUGCCACAAAUUAGCCUAUUUCUAUUAGAAAUUGCUGGUGUUCAGGAUUUUGUGCCCCCUUCUUGUGCCUUGAGCUCAUUCUGGAUCUGCGCAGCAUUACUGAAGUUAUAUCAGCUCGCACGUUAUUACUUUUGCAGGCUAGUAAUAAGCAUGUGGAUGGUGUAGAUCAAUAAAUUGUGUCAUGCUGAUAAUUUGACAUCUUCUGAUCUGGAGAGGUCAUUUGUGUAAGUGAGGACUUAGGAGUGUUGAUAAUGAAUUAACUACGUCUUCUAAGAAUUGUUAAUUAUUGUGACUUUACAAGUCACUCAUUGCGCCUCGCUAAAUUUUCAAGUGAAUUUUGCUUUAUAUCCUAUCUGUGGUCAAUUUCGAUUUUAAGAGAAUUUGACACUAUUAACGAGUGUCAGAUACAAAUAUUUUGCCAUUAUCCUUGCACAUCGCGUGUCCUUUCUUUUGACAUUCUACUCAUAAGAUAACUUCAUUGAGAUGAAUCUUUGUCUAAUAAUUCAUCUUGUUUCAUGGUUUGCAGCGGUUAUACACUGAGCACAAGAUCAAGUUAUCGAAGAUACACAUAUAUUGGAAUAACUGUAGUUUUGCUUAUUCUCUUAGUGCUAGCCUCAUUGUCAAUUUUAUCCAUUUGAGAAAUCAUCUGUCAAACUAUCUUUAUAUUGACAUUUCUAUGCAAGUUUUCUUUUCCAAUGUCUUCACUUUAUUCUGUGUUUUCCCCAGGUAUAGAAUUGUCUGCUAUUAGCAGAUUGAGUAUCUAUUUGCUUGUCCGUUUACAACUUUGAUCCUAUUUUAGCAUUUGAUUUUUCAUAGAGUUGAAGCAAUUUAAUGAUGUUUUCUUUCAGAUUGAUCACAUAGUCCUAACUCAUGUAUGCUCAGAGACUUUAGGCGGACUUCCAGGUCUUCUAUUGACUUUAGCCGGCAUUGGGGAAGAAGGGAUGUCUGUAUGUUCUACACUAAAGCCUGGUGAUAAUGCGGUUGUCUAUGUCUGUGAAUUGCCAGAAAUUAAGGGGAAGUUUGACCCAGUUAAAGCUUCAUCUCUAGGACUGAAACCAGGUCCAAAAUAUCGCGAAUUGCAACUUGGAAAGUCAGUAAUGUCAGAUUAUCAAGACAUUAUGGUGUGUUGAGCCUAAGUUUAAUCAAACUUCGAACUCUUGUGUGAUAUCUUCGAACUCAAUUGCUGAAGAUGAUGAGUCUCCCAAGUCAUAUGUAAUGCAGCAAAGUUAGUUUUUGUUGUUCUGUGUACUAUGGUUAAUUCUUGUACUCCAUGUUGGAUUAUCCAAAGACUAGUAUUUGUUUUUUGGCACAUUUGUGUUGACUCUUCUUGUAUGCUACAACUUGGUUAUGUAUCAGUUUGAACAUUUAAAUAAAAUAUUUGCUUUUAUGGUUGUCACAA